CACGCUGAAUUUAAGCAUACCACUAAGCGAAGGAAAAAAAUCAAAGAUAUCAGCGGCGAGCGAAACGGUACCUAGCGCAGCACUGAAUGCCUCGUCCUUGCCGGCGAUCAGGAAAGGUGCUGCAUGGGAGGUAACGUUCCCGAGAGUUUUGCGGUGGUGCAUGUCCCCCUGACAGAGGCUUGACCAGGAGUGGGUGCAAGGCUUGUCUCCGCCACUGCUCUCUCGGGAUGGAACCUCCCGUGAAUCGGGUCGCUUAAGAGUGCAGCCCUAAUUGUGUGGUAGACUCCAUCUAAGGCCGUGAGGGAAAGUUGUAAACUGCAUCAAGUACCGUGAGGGAAAGUUGAAAGGAACUUUGAAAAAAGAGUUCAAGAGUACGUGAAACCGCUUAGAGUAAAACGGUUGGGCCCGCGAAGCUGGGAGGCGGUAGCAUUCAGUUUCGAUGUGACGUGGAGCGGUGUUAGCGUCUUGGUUUACGGGCUCUCCUUCUGGGGGCCCGUUCCGGCUGCCAGCGCGG
This 514-nucleotide ribosomal RNA is filed under the name Ixodes scapularis (black-legged tick). RNAcentral describes it as "eukaryotic large subunit ribosomal RNA". It matches the Rfam family "Eukaryotic large subunit ribosomal RNA", at positions 24 to 524 of the family's 3401-position model. Lineage: Eukaryota; Metazoa; Arthropoda; Arachnida; Ixodida; Ixodidae. The record is from RNAcentral.